UACGAGGGGGGCGAGCGUUGUUCGGAAUUAUUGGGCGUAAAGGGUGCGCAGGUGGUCGUGUGUGUCAGAUGUGAAAUCCCGGAGCUUAACUCCGGAACUGCGUCUGAAACUGCACGACUAGAGCAUUGGAGAGGGUAGUGGAAUUCACGGUGUAGCAGUGAAAUGCGUAGAUAUCGUGAGGAACACCAGAGGCGAAGGCGACUACCUAGACAAUUGCUGACACUCAGGCACGAAAGCAUGGGGAGCAAAAGGG
Molecule: ribosomal RNA, 253 nt
Filed under: uncultured bacterium
Lineage: Bacteria
Description: partial 16S ribosomal RNA
Rfam family: Bacterial small subunit ribosomal RNA
Source: RNAcentral